Molecule: ribosomal RNA, 300 nt
Filed under: uncultured Oleiphilaceae bacterium
Lineage: Bacteria; Pseudomonadati; Pseudomonadota; Gammaproteobacteria; Oceanospirillales; Oleiphilaceae
Description: bacterial SSU rRNA
Rfam family: Bacterial small subunit ribosomal RNA
Source: RNAcentral
CGCGUAGGAACCUGCCCAGUAGUGGGGGAUAGCCCGGUGAAAACCGGAUUAAUACCGCAUACGCUCUACGGAGGAAAGGGGGCUUCGGCUCUCGCUAUUGGAUGGGCCUGCGUGAGAUUAGCUAGUUGGUGAGGUAAUGGCUCACCAAGGCGACGAUCUCUAGCUGGUCUGAGAGGAUGAUCAGCCACACUGGGACUGAGACACGGCCCAGACUCCUACGGGAGGCAGCAGUGGGGAAUAUUGCACAAUGGGCGCAAGCCUGAUGCAGCCAUGCCGCGUGUGUGAAGAAGGCUUUCGGGU